Molecule: ribosomal RNA, 253 nt
Filed under: uncultured bacterium
Lineage: Bacteria
Description: partial 16S ribosomal RNA
Rfam family: Bacterial small subunit ribosomal RNA
Source: RNAcentral
GACGAACCGUGCGAACGUUGUUCGGAAUCACUGGGCUUAAAGGGCGCGUAGGCGGGCCGGACGGUCCGGGGUGAAAUCCCCCCGCUCAACGGGGGAACGGCCCCGGACACCGCCGGCCUCGAGGGGGGUAGGGGCGAGCGGAACGCUGGGUGGAGCGGUGAAAUGCGUUGAUAUCCAGCGGAACUCCGGUGGCGAAGGCGGCUUUUUGGGCCGUUCCUGACGCUGAGGCGCGAAAGCCAGGGGAGCGAACGGG